Molecule: ribosomal RNA, 474 nt
Filed under: uncultured organism
Description: partial 16S ribosomal RNA
Rfam family: Bacterial small subunit ribosomal RNA
Source: RNAcentral
UACACUCCUGCGGGAGGCAGCAGUGGGGAAUAUUGCACAAUGGGCGCAAGCCUGAUGCAGCCAUGCCGCGUGUAUGAAGAAGGCCUUCGGGUUGUAAAGUACUUUCAGCGGGGAGGAAGGCGAUAAGGUUAAUAACCUUGUCGAUUGACGUUACCCGCAGAAGAAGCACCGGCUAACUCCGUGCCAGCAGCCGCGGUAAUACGGAGGGUGCAAGCGUUAAUCGGAAUUACUGGGCGUAAAGCGCACGCAGGCGGUCUGUCAAGUCGGAUGUGAAAUCCCCGGGCUCAACCUGGGAACUGCAUUCGAAACUGGCAGGCUAGAGUCUUGUAGAGGGGGGUAGAAUUCCAGGUGUAGCGGUGAAAUGCGUAGAGAUCUGGAGGAAUACCGGUGGCGAAGGCGGCCCCCUGGACAAAGACUGACGCUCAGGUGCGAAAGCGUGGGGAGCAAACAGGAUUAGAAACCCUGGUAGUCCCA